Molecule: long non-coding RNA, 612 nt
Filed under: Phaseolus vulgaris (common bean)
Lineage: Eukaryota; Viridiplantae; Streptophyta; Magnoliopsida; Fabales; Fabaceae
Description: long non-coding RNA (PVUL_LNC000088)
Source: RNAcentral
UUGGAAAGUGCUGAGAGAAGCCAAGAUAGAGCCACCAAUCCAGACACUGUACUUUCUCUCAGGUGGAGCAACCACCUUAAUCUUCAUGCUACUAGGGGCCAAAGCUGAGAUUUCCUUGCUCAUUCUGUCCGCAAUACCAGGGAACAUGGUAGAACCACCACUGAGAACGAUGUUGCCAUACAAGUCCUUCCUAAUAUCAACGUCACAUUUCAUGAUCGAAUUGUAAGUGGUCUCAUGAAUGCCAGCAGCUUCCAUUCCAAUCAUGGAUGGUUGGAAGAGAACUUCUGGGCAUCGGAAACGCUCAGCCCCAAUGGUGAUAACCUGUCCAUCAGGCAACUCAUAGCUCUUCUCAACAGAAGAGCUAGUUUUUGAUGUUUCAAGCUCUUGCUCAUAAUCAAGGGCAAUAUAAGCCAGCUUUUCCUUUACAUCCCUUACGAUUUCACGCUCAGCGGUGGUAGUGAAGGAAUAACCUCUUUCUGUAAGGAUUUUCAUCAAGGCAUCAGUGAGAUCGCGUCCUGCCAAGUCAAGACGGAGGAUGGCAUGUGGAAGAGCAUAGCCCUCAUAAAUGGGGACAGUAUGGCUGACACCAUCUCCAGAGUCUAGAACGAUACC